AUUGAACGCUGGCGGCAGGCCUAACACAUGCAAGUCGAGCGGUAGAGAGAAGCUUGCUUCUCUUGAGAGCGGCGGACGGGUGAGUAAUGCCUAGGAAUCUGCCUGGUAGUGGGGGAUAACGUUCGGAAACGAACGCUAAUACCGCAUACGUCCUACGGGAGAAAGCAGGGGACCUUCGGGCCUUGCGCUAUCAGAUGAGCCUAGGUCGGAUUAGCUAGUUGGUGAGGUAAUGGCUCACCAAGGCGACGAUCCGUAACUGGUCUGAGAGGAUGAUCAGUCACACUGGAACUGAGACACGGUCCAGACUCCUACGGGAGGCAGCAGUGGGGAAUAUUGGACAAUAGGGCGAAAGACCUGAUCCAGCCAUGCCGCGUGUGUG
RNAcentral lists this ribosomal RNA (379 nucleotides) under uncultured bacterium. RNAcentral's name for it is "bacterial SSU rRNA". It matches the Rfam family "Bacterial small subunit ribosomal RNA", at positions 30 to 407 of the family's 1533-position model. The record is from RNAcentral.